CAAUAGCGUAUAUUAAAGUUGUUGCAGUUAAAAGACUCGUAGUUGGAUUUCUGUCUAGGGUGGCCGGUACCCACUAUGUGAAGUAUCUGGUUCAGUCUGGGCAUCCUCUUGGGGAUCGUUCCUGUGCUUGAUUGCAUGGGACGGAAUUUCAAGAACUUUUACUUUGAGGAAAUUUAGAGUGUUCACGGCAAGCUUUCGCUUUGAAUACAUUAGCAUGGAAUAAUAAUAUAGGCGUAAGUUCUAUUUUGUUUGGUUUCUUAGAACAUACGCAAUGAAGUUAAUAGGGAUAAUUGGGGGCACUCGUAUUAACACGUCAGAGGUGGAAUUCUUAGAUUGUGUUACGACGAACUACUGCGAAAGCAUUUGCCAAGGAUGUUUUCAUUGAUCAAGAACGAAAGUA
RNAcentral lists this ribosomal RNA (400 nucleotides) under uncultured eukaryote. Its description in RNAcentral is "SSU rRNA". It matches the Rfam family "Eukaryotic small subunit ribosomal RNA", at positions 592 to 991 of the family's 1831-position model. The record is from RNAcentral.